UCUCUUCUCAUUAACGAGGAUGUUGCUCCGGUUGGUUUUGAUGAAGAAAUAAUUGAGUUGAAAAUGCAAAGCAUCUGAUCAAGAUCCCCCCUAAAGUUAUUGAUAUGACUAUUAUCAUGACAUACAAGCUUUGACUUGCUUUAUGAAAAGGAGAUCUAUUGAUUGGGGGAAGAAAUAGUUGCAGGGAAAAAGCAUGUAAUGACUGUACUCGUGCACAGGGGGGCAGCACUGUCACGUCUAACAUCUUGCUCCUAUUUUUCUGGUGUGCGCCGAUGGUUUGAAAAGCCUGCAGAAAAGGUAAGUUUAGGCCACGCCCACCUCCCCCCAGGUGUAGCGAAUUGAUUAAUGAGCUGUCCGGGGUACAAGAGGAAAGACGACUCGAUAUGACAUGUUUUUGGACUCGGGGAGGAAACAGGAGCACCUGAUGUAAUGCAGAGGGAGAAAAUGCAACCUCUACAUCAAAAGAGCCCAGUCAAGACAACAGGGUAACCAAUGUCAGGCCUGGUCGUUCCUGCGCCGCAGUGACAGAAUCCAGACAGCAGGGGGAGGACAAAGUCCCCCCUCCUCCCUCCAGGAGAGCUGGGAGCCUCGCAGCUGGUCUGAAGAGGUGUGCAGCUUGCCUCGGAGUCGCUUGCCAGGAACAACUGAACAUGUCUCCGAAAAGGUCAUCCAGACCGUGACAGCAGCAAAAAUGACGGGGAUCAGUGUGAGCACCUGGAAACAAAUGGAGCGUUUCGAUUCAUCGUCUGGAUCUGAUCCACACUAAAUGUUCUGGUUGUACCUGUCAGAGGCUGUGAGCGGGAGGAGGAAGUUGCCGUGUUCGUUGGGGGAUAUCCUUCCUCGCAGCAGCAGCGAGCGAGAACGCCCUGCUCACACAAAGGAUGAGAUGUCCCGAAUUCCAGUCUGACAGCUCAACACAACAAGUCCUCUCUGGGAGUCCAGGCAUCAAGCUGUCAGCACUCGU
Long non-coding RNA from Austrofundulus limnaeus, 964 nucleotides. RefSeq lists it as uncharacterized. The transcript is spliced from 5 exons. Lineage: Eukaryota; Metazoa; Chordata; Actinopteri; Cyprinodontiformes; Rivulidae. The record is from RefSeq and is a predicted model, not a curated record.